GACGAACGCUGGCGGCGUGCUUAACACAUGCCAGUCGAACGGAAAGGCCUUUUCGGAGGUACUCGAGUGGCGAACGGGUGAGUAACACGUGGGUGAUCUGCCCUGCACUCUGGGAUAAGCCUGGGAAACUGGGUCUAAUACCGGAUAGGACCGCACUUUAGUGUGUGUGGUGGAAAGUUUUUUCGGUGUAGGAUGAGCCCGCGGCCUAUCAGCUUGUUGGUGGGGUAAUGGCCUACCAAGGCGGCGACGGGUAGCCGGACUGAGAGGUUGGUCGGCCACAUUGGGACUGAGAGACGGCCCAGACUCCUACGGGAGGCAGCAGGGGGGAAGAUUGCACAAGGGGCGCAAGCCUGAUGCAGCGACGCCGCGUGGGGGAGGACGGCCUUCGGGUUGUAAACUCCUUUCGCCAGGGACGAAGCGUUUUGUGACGGUACCUGGAGAAGAAGCACCGGCUAACUACGUG
RNAcentral lists this ribosomal RNA (463 nucleotides) under uncultured bacterium. RNAcentral describes it as "partial 16S ribosomal RNA". It matches the Rfam family "Bacterial small subunit ribosomal RNA", at positions 28 to 507 of the family's 1533-position model. The record is from RNAcentral.